Molecule: ribosomal RNA, 689 nt
Filed under: uncultured Nitrososphaerota archaeon
Lineage: Archaea; Thermoproteati; Nitrososphaerota
Description: bacterial SSU rRNA
Rfam family: Archaeal small subunit ribosomal RNA
Source: RNAcentral
GCAAUGUGUGGCAUACGGCUCAGUAACACGUAGUCAACAUGCCCAGGGGACGUGGAUAACCUCGGGAAACUGAGGAUAAACCGCGAUAGGUCACUACUUCUGGAAUGGGUAAUGACCCAAACCUAUAUGGCCCCUGGAUUGGACUGCGGCCGAUCAGGCUGUUGGUGAGGUAAUGGCCCACCAAACCUGUAACCGGUACGGGCUCUGAGAGGAGGAGCCCGGAGAUGGGCACUGAGACAAGGGCCCAGGCCCUAUGGGGCGCAGCGGGCGCGAAACCUCUGCAAUAGGCGAAAGCUUGACAGGGUUACUCUGAGUGAUUUCCGUUAAGGAGAUCUUUUGGCACCUCUAAAAAUGGUGCAGAAUAAGGGGUGGGCAAGUCUGGUGUCAGCCGCCGCGGUAAUACCAGCACCCCGAGUGGUCGGGACGUUUAUUGGGCCUAAGGCAUCCGUAGCCGGUUCUACAAGUCUUCCGUUAAAUCCACCUGCUCAACAGAUGGGCUGCGGAAGAUACUAUGGAGCUAGGAGGCGGGAGAGGCAAGCGGUACUCGAUGGGUAGGGGUAAAAUCCGUUGAUCCAUUGAAGACCACCAGUGGCGAAGGCGGCAUGCCAGAACGCGCUCGACGGUGAGGGAUGAAAGCUGGGGGAGCAAACCGGAUUAGAUACCCGGGUAGUCCCAGCUGUAAACGAUGC